This 373-nucleotide ribosomal RNA is filed under the name uncultured bacterium. RNAcentral's name for it is "partial 16S ribosomal RNA". It matches the Rfam family "Bacterial small subunit ribosomal RNA", at positions 338 to 729 of the family's 1533-position model. The record is from RNAcentral.
CCUACGGGAGGCAGCAGUGGGGAAUAUUGCACAAUGGGCGAAAGCCUGAUGCAGCAACGCCGCGUGAGCGAUGAAGGCCUUCGGGUCGUAAAGCCCUGUCCUCAAGGAAGAUAAUGACGGUAUCUGAGGAGGAAGCACCGGCUAACUACGUGCCAGCAGCCGCGGUAAUACGUAGGGGGCUAGCGUUAUCCGGAAUCACUGGGCGUAAAGGGUGCGUAGGGGGGUUCUUAAGUCAGAGGUGAAAGGCUACGGCUAAACCGUAGUAAGCCUUUGAAACUGGGGAACUUGAGUGCAGGAGAGGAGAGUGGAAUUCCUGGUGUAGCGGUAAAAUGCGUAGAGAUCACGCAGAACCCUGAUUGCGAAGGCGGCCUGC